This 1370-nucleotide ribosomal RNA is filed under the name uncultured bacterium. RNAcentral describes it as "16S ribosomal RNA". It matches the Rfam family "Bacterial small subunit ribosomal RNA", at positions 30 to 1390 of the family's 1533-position model. The record is from RNAcentral.
UGAACGCUGGCGGUAUGCUUAACACAUGCAAGUCGAACGGAAACGAUACUAGCUUGCUAGUAGGCGUCGAGUGGCGGACGGGUGAGUAACGCGUAGGAAUCUGCCUGAUAGUGGGGGAUAGCCCGAAGAAAUUCGGAUUAAUACCGCAUAAUCUAUUCGUAGUAAAGUGGGGGACUUUCGAGCCUCACGCUAUCAGAUGAGCCUGCGUAAGAUUAGCUUGUUGGUAGGGUAAAAGCCUACCAAGGCGACGAUCUUUAGCUGGUCUGAGAGGAUGAUCAGCCACAUCGGGACUGAGACACGGCCCGAACUCCUACGGGAGGCAGCAGUGGGGAAUAUUGGACAAUGGGGGCAACCCUGAUCCAGCAAUACCGCGUGUGUGAAGAAGGCCUGAGGGUUGUAAAACACUUUCAAUUGUGAAGAAAAGUUAGCGGUUAAUAACCGUUAGCCUUGACGUUAACUUUAGAAGAAGCACCGGCUAACUCCGUGCCAGCAGCCGCGGUAAUACGGAGGGUGCAAGCGUUAAUCGGAAUUACUGGGCGUAAAGCGUGCGUAGGCGGUUUAUUAAGUCAGAUGUGAAAGCCCCGGGCUUAACCUGGGAACUGCAUUUGAAACUGGUCAACUAGAGUAUGGUAGAGGAAAGUGGAAUUUCUGGUGUAGCGGUGAAAUGCGUAGAUAUCAGAAGGAACAUCAAUGGCGAAAGGCAGCUUUCUGGACCAAUACUGACGCUGAGGUACGAAAGCGUGGGUAGCAAACAGGAUUAGAUACCCUGGUAGUCCACGCCGUAAACGAUGAUAACUAGCCGUUGGGGGGAUUUACCCUUUAGUGGCGAAGCUAACGCGUUAAGUUAUCCGCCUGGGGAGUACGGCCGCAAGGUUAAAACUCAAAGGAAUUGACGGGGACCCGCACAAGCGGUGGAGCAUGUGGUUUAAUUCGAUGCAACGCGAAGAACCUUACCUGGUCUUGACAUCCUGCGAACUUUCUAGAAAUAGAUUGGUGCCUUCGGGAACGCAGUGACAGGUGCUGCAUGGCUGUCGUCAGCUCGUGUCGUGAGAUGUUGGGUUAAGUCCCGUAACGAGCGCAACCCCUAUCCUUAUUUGCCAGCACAUCAUGGUGGGAACUAUAAGGAGACUGCCGGUGAUAAACCGGAGGAAGGCGGGGACGACGUCAAGUCAUCAUGGCCCUUACGACCAGGGCUACACACGUGCUACAAUGGGAAGGACAAAGAGCCGCGAAGCCGCGAGGUGUAGCUAAUCUCAUAAACCUUUUCGUAGUCCGGAUUGGAGUCUGCAACUCGACUCCAUGAAGUCGGAAUCGCUAGUAAUCGUAGAUCAGAAUGCUACGGUGAAUACGUUCCCGGGUCUUGUACUCAC